UACAGAGGGGGCAAGCGUUAUUCGGAAUUAUUGGGCGUAAAGGGCGCGUAGGCGGCUUGGCAAGUGGAUGGUGAAAUCCCUCGGCUUAACCGAGGAACUGCCGUCCAAACUGCUUCGCUUGAGACCGGGAGAGGUGAGUGGAAUUCCCAGUGUAGCGGUGAAAUGCGUAGAUAUUGGGAGGAACACCAGUGGCGAAGGCGGCUCACUGGACCGGUACUGACGCUGAGGCACGAAAGCGUGGGGAGCAAACAGG
Molecule: ribosomal RNA, 253 nt
Filed under: uncultured bacterium
Lineage: Bacteria
Description: partial 16S ribosomal RNA
Rfam family: Bacterial small subunit ribosomal RNA
Source: RNAcentral